Molecule: ribosomal RNA, 253 nt
Filed under: uncultured bacterium
Lineage: Bacteria
Description: partial 16S ribosomal RNA
Rfam family: Bacterial small subunit ribosomal RNA
Source: RNAcentral
UACGUAGGUGGCAAGCGUUAUCCGGAUUUAUUGGGCGUAAAGGGAACGCAGGCGGUCUUUUAAGUCUGAUGUGAAAGCCUUCGGCUUAACCGGAGUAGUGCAUUGGAAACUAGGAGACUUGAGUGCAGAAGAGGAGAGUGGAACUCCAUGUGUAGCGGUGAAAUGCGUAGAUAUAUGGAAGAACACCAGUGGCGAAGGCGGCUCUCUGGUCUGCAACUGACGCUGAGGCUCGAAAGCAUGGGUAGCGAACAGG